UCAAGAAACUUCCACAAUGGGCGAAAGCCUGAUGGAGCGACGUCGCGUGAUGGACGAAGUGCUUCGGCACGUAAACAUCUUUUAUGUGGGAUGAAAUUAUUGACAGUACCACAUGAAUAAGGGGCUCCUAACUCUGUGCCAGCAGGAGCGGUAAUACAGAGGCCCCAAGCGUUAUCCGGAAUCACUGGGCGUAAAGGGUGUCGAGGCGGUUGUAUUAGUCGUUCGUAAAAUCUACGAGCUUAACUUGUAGGCGGCGAACGAAACGGUACGACUUGAGGUUUGGAGAGGUGCGUGGAACUCACGGUGUAGGGGUGAAGUCCGUUGAUAUCGUGGGGAACACCAAAGGCGAAGGCAGCGCACUGGCCAAAAUCUGACGCUCACACACGAAAGCUAGGGUAGCGAAGAGGAUUAGAUACCCAUGUAGUCCCUGAGCGGGCUGGCAAGGCGCAU
This 450-nucleotide ribosomal RNA is filed under the name uncultured bacterium. RNAcentral's name for it is "bacterial SSU rRNA". It matches the Rfam family "Bacterial small subunit ribosomal RNA", at positions 355 to 825 of the family's 1533-position model. The record is from RNAcentral.